RNAcentral lists this long non-coding RNA (4249 nucleotides) under Nicotiana benthamiana. RNAcentral describes it as "long non-coding RNA (NBEN_LNC019265)". Lineage: Eukaryota; Viridiplantae; Streptophyta; Magnoliopsida; Solanales; Solanaceae. The record is from RNAcentral.
AUCUGUGUCCAAAUGACUUUGUACUGCUACAUAGAACCACAAGAGCAUCACGUUCUUGUUUGGUUCUUAGCUCCUGAAUCUGUAGCAGUUCAUCUUUUACUGGAGUCCGUUGAAGUUUGCAGCAAUCCAAAGUAGGUCAAAUUCCCUAUUGUUAGAUCAUCAAUACAUAAGGCAAGAGUGGCUAAGAUCUAUCACCAGUUCUUUGCAAAUCGUCGAAGGAAAAAAAAGGACACCAAGCAUAUCUGGAGAGGAAGGCUAUUCUAUCCCAUUUUCCUCUCUUUUCUCGAAUAAAUUAAAGUCAAAUUCAAAGAGGCAACCGCUUCUGCCUCAAGCCUUUUUGUACCUAACAAUUCGAAGCUCACGCUUCUCCGAAGUUGCUUUGCUUCACGCUUGGGAAACUAAGGACUCUGUGAGAAAGCACGGGAGAAACAUAUAAUUGAUAUUUAAACAUGAUACAAUGAGCCCUAUAUAUAUACACAUAACCUAUCCUACUCCUAAUAAACAAUGGAUUAGGCUACUCCUAAUACACAUUGGAUUAGGAUUCUACUGUUACAUAUUCUAACAGACCCCUUGCUACGGUAUUUUUCUGCCGCUUAAGGAGCAUAAGCACCCUCUUGCUAGCAUCAUUUGUCUUUCAUGACCAUCAUCGCUUCCACGCUUGUAGCGUUCACGUUUAUUCAAAGUUGCUUCCUUUUACCCAUGUGAAUCGAAGACACCUUGUUUUUCAUUGCUUCGUCACCUUAAACAAUGAGUGAUCCUCAAAAUUCAUAUAACUUUCCCAUACAAUUAACCAAUUAAAAAGGCUAAGUUGUUAAACAUAGACCCAAGGUCAAAUAAUCGCCAACCCACCAGCUUAAUCUCUAUCUAAUCACCAAGCCAAUCCUCGUGGCCAAAUACAUUAGAAUCUCACCGGAACAGUGCUCACGCGCCGGCGCGUGGGGCGCGUAAGUCGGAUCUGCCUGGGUAAAUCUGGCGCGUGAGGGCGCGUGAAGGGCAGUUUUCCGAUGGGGUUUGCUGGGGUUUGGUCGGUUCUCUCUUGGGAACCUUGUGGUGGUGUUGGUUUUUGCACAACACUGAUAAUUAGUGACUUUGAAAGCAUAUCUGGAGAGGAAGGCUAUUCUAUCCCAUUUUCCUCUCUUUUCUCGAAUAAAUUAAAGUCAAAUUCAAAGAGGCAACCGCUUCUGCCUCAAGCCUUUUUGUACCUAACAAUUCGAAGCUCACGCUUCUCCGAAGUUGCUUUGCUUCACGCUUGGGAAACUAAGGACUCUGUGAGAAAGCACGGGAGAAACAUAUAAUUGAUAUUUAAACAUGAUACAAUGAGCCCUAUAUAUAUACACAUAACCUAUCCUACUCCUAAUAAACAAUGGAUUAGGCUACUCCUAAUACACAUUGGAUUAGGAUUCUACUGUUACAUAUUCUAACAGACCCCUUGCUACGGUAUUUUUCUGCCGCUUAAGGAGCAUAAGCACCCUCUUGCUAGCAUCAUUUGUCUUUCAUGACCAUCAUCGCUUCCACGCUUGUAGCGUUCACGUUUAUUCAAAGUUGCUUCCUUUUACCCAUGUGAAUCGAAGACACCUUGUUUUUCAUUGCUUCGUCACCUUAAACAAUGAGUGAUCCUCAAAAUUCAUAUAACUUUCCCAUACAAUUAACCAAUUAAAAAGGCUAAGUUGUUAAACAUAGACCCAAGGUCAAAUAAUCGCCAACCCACCAGCUUAAUCUCUAUCUAAUCACCAAGCCAAUCCUCGUGGCCAAAUACAUUCUUAUCCUUCCUUCUUACUCCACUUAUCUUUUAUAGACAAGUAAAAUAAUAUUAUAAUAUUAUACACCAAGAUGUGAGUUAAUAAAGUAGUUUAAUAGAAGAAGGCCUUAGGCUACCAAGAAAAUGUAACCAGUUAUACAAGGAAUUUCUUUUCACUAACUACCUAGGAGAGGGAUCAUGAAUUUCUUUUCAUGAUCCCCCUAGAGGUCGGUUUCCACUUGGGAUAAAUUAGUCUAGGAAUUAUAAUCCCAGGACUAUAAUUCCGUGAAUUUUUUUUUUUUUUUUGCGUACCAAACGAUUCCUUAGGGUCUUCUAGUUUAGACACAAAGUUACGCAGGGAUUAAUAGUGCAUGGAUUAUAACGUAGGAAUUUGUAAUAUGGGGAUUAUAAUGCAUGGAUUGGUAAUGCAUGAAUUAUAAGGUAUCAUUUUAAAAGAUUGUUAAUACAUGAGGGUUAUUUUGAUCAUAUUAGUUAUUUCAAUCCAUGUAUUCUAAUUCCACCUUCUAUCCGGCAUAGAAUAAUACACCGAUUCUUGUAUAACUUAUGCGGGAAACAAAACCAGCCACCACACGAUGUAUUGUACAUUUCUAGAAUAUAUGCUAGUUUAAAAAGGCAACCAGACACUAUUACUAAAGAAAGGUUUUAUGCCACCGGUCACUCUUUGUCAUAGUGGUUGAUGUCGUUUUCUUCACAACACUAGGUCAAGAGUUCAAGGCUUGUAAGUUGCAAAGCAAAAAAUGCAAGGUUUUAUGCAGGUGUCAUAAGAGUUUAUACAUGCAACCAAAUGGGCUGUCAGUAUCCAAGUCUAAAUUUCUUAGAAAAUUCUCAUAUUCCUCUCUCUAUAUUGGCCGAAAUUUUUUUAAUGGAUGGUCUUUCAAAUCUUCCUUGUAGCAUUUGAUUUGUUGGUUUUCAAGCUUGCUAAUGUAUCUCCCCUGCUCUAGGGAGUUCCAUCAAAAAUGAAAUUUUUAUUCUCCAAUCUAUUGAAUAUUUUAGCAACCAUGGCCUCCCCCAUCUAGAAUGGGGGCCUGAGGAAAUAUGUCUUUCACAAUAGUAUCACCAUACCAAACAUCAAGUUAGAACUAAUAUGUUUUUUAUUCUUCAUUAAUAACCCUCUCUCAACCAACCAAGAUAUUUUGUUUGUUCACUUAUUCCAUCGCACAUGAAAUCUCUUAUUAAUUUCUCCAAAGUAAUUAAGCAACUACAACAAUGGAAACGAAUAUGGACAAAGACAUGAAGUAUUAAGAAUGUUGGAGAGUGUUGUUUUUGUCAUAUUAACUUUCCUCCUGUAGACAUAAUCGUACACAUUUUCAGUCUUCUCUUAAACUCUUAAGCUUUUCUCUAGCUAGUGGUCAUAGCUCAGUCCCUUUGAACUUACCACUUCUUGGAAGUCCAAGAUAUUAUAUAGGGACUUUAGCUACUUUACAUCCUCCAUCCAAAGCAAGUUCAUACAUGUUAUGUACUUUCUCAACAGUUAUCUGCUCCGACAUUUUCAUGUUAAUACAAAGGACAAAGUCCAAACACUUUCUAGAGUCAUAACAAUGUUAAUGGGUUCACAAUUAAAGCUUUUACUAGCUAACAGGCGUGAUUUAGAGAUCUUCCCACCUUGGCUUCAUAGAUUAUAAAUUCACCCCGACAAAAUGGCCUAUUAAGUGACUUGCGAAGGGUAUACAUAAUAAGCUAAUAACACAAGAAGCAUCAAUGAUCGGGAAUCCCCCUACAUGAGUUCAUCUGAUACUCCCAGAAUAUCCAAUGGGGGAGCUGUUGGCACUAAAACAUGCCAAUUCAAUAAAUGACUCAAGCAUUUCCUACACUGUCAUAUCACAUCUAUGAUGUUCAUGUUUUGUAACUUUUUCAGACCUAUUUUCGCACUAAACCUUUUGUAAAGGUUUUCUCUCUUUUCUCCUGCCAAUUUAGCUAUCAACAUAUCCAUGAUUUCCUUCAUUAUCUUUUUUACCUCCUUAGAUAAUUGUUACAUUCGAACAAUAUAUCAAAAUGAAGCUACAACAGACUAACAUCCAAACUCAUUGUGAGCUAUUCAAACUCGAAAGACAUCUUUUUAACCACCUGCCAGCUGACUACUAUUCCAUUAACCCAAACGAUAAAAAAGCAAACUAAGAUGGCAAAAGCUCAACUUGGAAGACGUUCAGACAAAUUCCACUUGCAUGCCUAUUUUAAAUAAUAUUGUGAUGUUGAGUUUUGUAUUUACCCAAAAGAGAAAAUUGGUGGGUUGAAAGGGAACUAGGCUUGAGGUUUUCUGUUGUACGACUACCCUCAAUAAACCAAACUACCCAAAAUCACUAUAGCAUAUCUUAAAGAUCCUCAUUUUGUUUUAGUUUAUUCAAUCUUGUGCUCGAUUCAUUAAUUAAUAGGAAACCAAUUAGAUUUAUUUAGUAACCCAAGACGAACUUGACAAAGAGAAUCUUGGUUUGACUAGACUUGAGUAUCGCAAUGAUAAAUUACUUAGCUCAACCAGUGUUUAGAAAAGCGCGC